UAAUACAUCGGAACGUGUCCUUAAAGUGGGGAAUAACGCAUCGAAAGAUGUGUUAAUACCGCAUAUCUCUGAGGAGAAAAGCAGGGGAUCGCAAGACCUUGCGCUAAAGGAGCGGCCGAUGUCUGAUUAGCUAGUUGGUGGGGUAAAGGCUUACCAAGGCAACGAUCAGUAGUUGGUCUGAGAGGACGGCCAACCACACUGGGACUGAGACACGGCCCAGACUCCUACGGGAGGCAGCAGUGGGGAAUUUUGGACAAUGGGCGAAAGCCUGAUCCAGCCAUGCCCGCGUGAGUGAAGAAGGCCUUCGGGUUGUAAAGCUCUUUUAGUCGGAAAGAAAGAGUUGCAAUGAAUAAUUGUGAUUUAUGACGGUACCGACAGAAAAAGCACCGGCUAACUACGUGCCAGC
This 406-nucleotide ribosomal RNA is filed under the name uncultured beta proteobacterium LV1A. RNAcentral's name for it is "bacterial SSU rRNA". It matches the Rfam family "Bacterial small subunit ribosomal RNA", at positions 111 to 512 of the family's 1533-position model. Lineage: Bacteria; Pseudomonadati; Pseudomonadota; Betaproteobacteria; Nitrosomonadales; Nitrosomonadaceae. The record is from RNAcentral.